UAGGGAAUCUUCCGCAAUGGGCGAAAGCCUGACGGAGCAACGCCGCGUGAGUGAUGAAGGUCUUCGGAUCGUAAAACUCUGUUAUUAGGGAAGAACAAAUGUGUAAGUAACUAUGCACGUCUUGACGGUACCUAAUCAGAAAGCCACGGCUAACUACGUGCCAGCAGCCGCGGUAAUACGUAGGUGGCAAGCGUUAUCCGGAAUUAUUGGGCGUAAAGCGCGCGUAGGCGGUUUUUUAAGUCUGAUGUGAAAGCCCACGGCUCAACCGUGGAGGGUCAUUGGAAACUGGAAAACUUGAGUGCAGAAGAGGAAAGUGGAAUUCCAUGUGUAGCGGUGAAAUGCGCAGAGAUAUGGAGGAACACCAGUGGCGAAGGCGACUUUCCGGUCUGUAACUGACGCUGAUGUGCGAAAGCGUGGGGAUCAAACAGG
Molecule: ribosomal RNA, 429 nt
Filed under: Actinomycetes bacterium
Lineage: Bacteria; Bacillati; Actinomycetota; Actinomycetes
Description: Actinobacteria bacterium partial 16S ribosomal RNA
Rfam family: Bacterial small subunit ribosomal RNA
Source: RNAcentral